Molecule: ribosomal RNA, 494 nt
Filed under: uncultured bacterium
Lineage: Bacteria
Description: partial 16S ribosomal RNA
Rfam family: Bacterial small subunit ribosomal RNA
Source: RNAcentral
GACGAACGCUGGCGGCGUGCCUAAUACAUGCAAGUCGAACGGUUUAGUUCCAAGAGGCUUGCCUUUUGGAACUAGACAGCGGCGGACGGGUGAGUAACACGUAGGCAACCUACCUGUCAAACCGGGAUAACCUCGGGAAACCGAAGCUAAACCCGGAUAAGCUCCUUUUUCGCAUGAAGGGGGAGUGAAAAGGUGCGACCUGAUGACAGAUGGGCCUGCGGCGCAUUAGCUAGUAGGUAGGGUAACGGCCUACCUAGGCGAUGAUGCGUAGCCGACCUGAGAGGGCGUACGGCCACACUGGGACUGAGAUACGGCCCAGACUCCUACGGGAGGCAGCAGUAGGGAAUCUUCGGCAAUGGGCGAAAGCCUGACCGAGCAACGCCGCGUGAGUGAGGAAGGCCUUCGGGUUGUAAAACUCUGUUGUUUGGGAAGAAGGGAAAGGGUAGGACCCUUAGGUGACGGUACCAAACGAGAAAGCCCCGGCUAACUACGUG